UACGUAGGGUGCAAGCGUUGUCCGGAAUUAUUGGGCGUAAAGAGCGCGUAGGCGGUUUGUCGCGUCUGCUGUGAAAACCCGAGGCUCAACCUCGGGCCUGCAGUGGGUACGGGCAGACUAGAGUGCGGUAGGGGAGAUUGGAAUUCCUGGUGUAGCGGUGGAAUGCGCAGAUAUCAGGAGGAACACCGAUGGCGAAGGCAGAUCUCUGGGCCGUAACUGACGCUGAGGAGCGAAAGCGUGGGGAGCGAACAGG
RNAcentral lists this ribosomal RNA (253 nucleotides) under uncultured bacterium. RNAcentral's name for it is "partial 16S ribosomal RNA". It matches the Rfam family "Bacterial small subunit ribosomal RNA", at positions 524 to 776 of the family's 1533-position model. The record is from RNAcentral.